CCUACGGGAGGCAGCAGUGGGGAAUAUUGGACAAUGGGGGAAACCCUGAUCCAGCGACGCCGCGUGAGUUAAGAAGUAUUUCUGUACGUAAAGCUCUAUCAGCAGGAAAGAAAAUGACGGUACCUGACUAAGAAGCCCCGGCUAACUACGUGCCAGCAGCCGCCGUAAAACGUAGGGGGCAAGCGUUAUCCGGAUUUACUGGGUGUAAAGGGAGCGUAGACGGCAGCGCAAGUCUGGAGUGAAAUGCCGGGGCGCAACCCCGGAACUGCUCUGGAAACUGUGAAGCUGGAGUGCAGGAGAGGUAAGCGGAAUUCCUGGUGUAGCGGUGAAAUGCGUAGAUAUCAGGAGGAACACCGGCGGCGAAGGCGGCUUACUGGACUGUAACUGACGUUGAGGCUCGAAGGCGUGGGGAGCAAACAGGAUUAGAUACCCGGGUAGUC
RNAcentral lists this ribosomal RNA (440 nucleotides) under uncultured bacterium. Its description in RNAcentral is "partial 16S ribosomal RNA". It matches the Rfam family "Bacterial small subunit ribosomal RNA", at positions 338 to 795 of the family's 1533-position model. The record is from RNAcentral.